This 484-nucleotide ribosomal RNA is filed under the name uncultured bacterium. RNAcentral describes it as "partial 16S ribosomal RNA". It matches the Rfam family "Bacterial small subunit ribosomal RNA", at positions 30 to 507 of the family's 1533-position model. The record is from RNAcentral.
AUUGAACGCUGGCGGCAGGCCUAACACAUGCAAGUCGAGCGGAUGAAGGGAGCUUGCUCCUGGAUUCAGCGGCGGACGGGUGAGUAAUGCCUAGGAAUAUGCCUGGGAGUGGGGGAUAACGUCCGGAAACGGGCGCUAAUACCGCAUACGACCUGAGGGAGAAAGUGGGGGAUCUUCGGACCUCACGCGAUAAGAUGAGCCUAGGUCGGAUUAGCUAGUUGGUGGGGUAAAGGCCUACCAAGGCGACGAUCCGUAACUGGUCUGAGAGGAUGAUCAGUCACACUGGAACUGAGACACGCUCCAGACUCCUACGGGAGGCAGCAGUGGGGAAUAUUGGACAAUGGGCGAAAGCCUGAUCCAGCCAUGCCGCGUGUGUGAAGAAGGUCUUCGGAUUGUAAAGCACUUUAAGUUGGGAGGAAGGGCAGUAAGUUAAUACCUUGCUGUUUUGACGUUACCAACAGAAUAAGCACCGGCUAACUUCGUG